Molecule: ribosomal RNA, 253 nt
Filed under: uncultured bacterium
Lineage: Bacteria
Description: partial 16S ribosomal RNA
Rfam family: Bacterial small subunit ribosomal RNA
Source: RNAcentral
UACGGAGGAUCCAAGCGUUAUCCGGAUUUAUUGGGUUUAAAGGGUGCGUAGGCGGAUUGAUAAGUUAGGGGUGAAAUGUCCGAGCUUAACUCGGGAACUGCCUCUAAUACUGUUGAUCUAGAGAGUAGAUGCGGUAGGCGGAAUGUAUGGUGUAGCGGUGAAAUGCUUAGAGAUCAUACAGAACACCGAUUGCGAAGGCAGCUUACCAAUCUAUAUCUGACGUUGAGGCACGAAAGCGUGGGGAGCAAACAGG